AUGAUAUUAAAUAGCCGCAGUAUAUUGACUGUGCAAAGGUAGCAUAAUCAUUAGUUUUUUAAUUGAGGGCUGGAAUGAAUGGUUAGAUGUAAUAUAAUCUAUUUUAUUAUUAUUUAUUGAAUUUAAUUUUUGGGUAAAAAAGCUUAAAUUUAGAUUUGGGACGAUAAGACCCUAUAGAAUUUGAUUUUUUUUUGUGUUAGGUAAUGUUGGGAGAAGAUGAUGUGCGAUAAUAUUUUAUUGGGGUGAUAAAAGGAUAUGGUUAACUCUUUGUUAUGAAAUAUGUAGUUAAUAGAUUGUAUUGUGAUCCAUUAUUAAUGAAUGUAAGAGAAAUUACCUUAGGGAUAACAGCGUAAUUUCUUUUGAGUC
This 366-nucleotide ribosomal RNA is filed under the name Attaphila sp. B MD-2018. RNAcentral describes it as "partial large subunit ribosomal RNA". Lineage: Eukaryota; Metazoa; Arthropoda; Insecta; Blattodea; Blattellidae. The record is from RNAcentral.